AACGUAGGUGGCAAGCGUUAUCCGGAUUUACUGGGCGUAAAGCGUGUGCAGGCGGUUGGACAAGUGGGGUAUGAAAUCGCCAGGCUAAACCUGGCGGGGUUAUGCCAGACUGUCCGUCUGGAGUGCGAGAGAGGGGCGUGGAAUUCCGGGUGUAGUGGUGAAAUGCGUAGAGAUCCGGAGGAACCCCAGAGGCGAAGGCGGCGCCCUGGCUCGCAACUGACGCUCAGACACGACAGCAUGGGGAGCGAACGGG
RNAcentral lists this ribosomal RNA (253 nucleotides) under uncultured bacterium. RNAcentral's name for it is "partial 16S ribosomal RNA". It matches the Rfam family "Bacterial small subunit ribosomal RNA", at positions 524 to 776 of the family's 1533-position model. The record is from RNAcentral.